RNAcentral lists this ribosomal RNA (447 nucleotides) under uncultured bacterium. RNAcentral's name for it is "partial 16S ribosomal RNA". It matches the Rfam family "Bacterial small subunit ribosomal RNA", at positions 29 to 523 of the family's 1533-position model. The record is from RNAcentral.
AACGAACGCCGGCGGCAGGCCUAACACAUGCAAGUCGAGCGCGCAGCAAUGCGAGCGGCAGACGGGUGAGUAACGCGUGGGAACCUUCCUAUUGGUGCGGAAUAGCUCAGGGAAACUUGGGGUAAUACCGCAUAAGCCCGAAAGGGGAAAGAUUUAUCGCCGAUAGAUGGGCCCGCGUUGGAUUAGCUAGUUGGUGAGGUAACGGCUCACAAAGGCGACGAUCCAUAGCUGGUUUGAGAGAAUGACCAGCCACACUGGGACCGAGACACGGCCCAGACUCCUACGGGAGGCAGCAGUGGGGAAUCUUGGACAAUGGGCGCAAGCCUGAUCCAGCCAUGCCGCGUGAGUGAUGAAGGCCGUCGGGUUGUAAAGCUCUUUUGCCGGGGACGAUAAUGACGGUACCCGGAGAAUAAGUCCCGGCUAACUUCGUGCCAGCCGCCGCGGUAA